CAAAAUAUUUAUUUUAUUUUUAUUGAAAGAGCCCUUUUAGAUUUAUUUAAACAUUGGCUUUUGUUAUUUAUUACUUUUGGUCACACUUUAAAAGGAAAAUGUAAGAGAAAUUAACUUUUUUCUUGCUUCUUCCCUGCCUCCCUCCUUUCCUUUUUCCCUUCCUCCCUUUUUCUUUUGUUUUCAUUGAUCAUAUAUCUCUGGAAUUUAAGUUCAAAGUUAGAAGGAAAUUUUUCACAAAUUCUUGUUUAACACCUUAUCACUUGUCCUCUGUAAAAUAUGAAUUGGUCAUAUCAACCUCUCAUUUCUUUCAGAUUCCUUUUAUCUCUUCCAGAUACCAGUUUCUCCUGCCUUCAGUUCAGCUGCUUGGUGUUGUGAUAGAUAAUCUUUUUAUAGAUAUCUAGGUAACAGAAUGUUAACAGCUUCAUUUACUUGUGUAUAUUUUUCUUUCUUAGGUCCUCUUAAACACUUGAUUGUUGCUUUGCCAGAAAAUAUGAAGUUCUGAUGAGGAAAUUGAGUCUCACAGAGAUAAAUAACUUGCCCAAGGUCAUAUAACUAGUGAAUUGUGGAACUGGGAUUUUAGCUCAAAUCUGCCUGAGGUAAGCACCCAAGCUCCUUACCGCUGUGCGACCUUCCUGUGGGGCUGGCAUGAAGGGGUCCAAGGCUGCCCCGAAAUCAGUGCGGCUCUCCAAAACCGCUUUGACUUGAUCUUUGUUCUAAAUUAUCUGCUUGCUGUCCAAGUACACUUCAUCGUAUGGUUUAGAAUAGAUGUUCACUUUACAUCUGUAGAAUGAAUAAGAGCUGUUUUAAUGUGUUUUGAGUAUGGAAUGUCCAAAAUAUGCCAAAAUUAUGCUAAAGGAAAACAUGACUUUUUGGGAGAAGACUUGUAAUGGGAAUUUACUUUCAUAUGGUAGCAUGCAAAGGUCCAGAUAGUUCCAAUACCCCCCAAGUCCAACAGUGUUAUCCAUUACUGCUAUAUUAAAAUGCACGAAAUAGCACUUAAAAGCCAUCACUUGAAAGUCAACAAAUAAUAGACUGCU
Molecule: long non-coding RNA, 1037 nt
Filed under: Equus caballus (horse)
Lineage: Eukaryota; Metazoa; Chordata; Mammalia; Perissodactyla; Equidae
Description: lncRNA (ENSECAG00000057137.1)
Source: RNAcentral